Molecule: ribosomal RNA, 305 nt
Filed under: uncultured bacterium
Lineage: Bacteria
Description: bacterial SSU rRNA
Rfam family: Bacterial small subunit ribosomal RNA
Source: RNAcentral
GUUCCUACGGGAGGCAGCAGUGAGGAAUAUUGGUCAAUGGGCUUACGCCUGAACCAGCCAAGUCGCGUGAGGGAAGACUGCCCUAUGGGUUGUAAACCUCUUUUGUCGGGGAGCAAAGCGAGUCACGUGUGACUCAUUGAGGGUACCCGAAGAAAAAGCAUCGGCUAACUCCGUGCCAGCAGCCGCGGUAAUACGGAGGAUGCGAGCGUUAUCCGGAUUUAUUGGGUUUAAAGGGUGCGCAGGCGGAGGUGCAAGUCAGCGGUCAAAUUGCGGGGCUCAACCCCGUACUGCCGUUGAAACUGCAU